GAUGAACGCUGGCGGCGUGCCUAAUACAUGCAAGUCGAGCGAACAGACGAGGAGCUUGCUCCUCUGACGUUAGCGGCGGACGGGUGAGUAACACGUGGAUAACCUACCUAUAAGACUGGGAUAACUUCGGGAAACCGGAGCUAAUACCGGAUAAUAUAUUGAACCGCAUGGUUCAAUAGUGAAAGACGGUUUUGCUGUCACUUAUAGAUGGAUCCGCGCCGCAUUAGCUAGUUGGUAAGGUAACGGCUUACCAAGGCAGCGAUGCGUAGCCGACCUGAGCGCGUGAUCGGCCACACGGGAACUGAGACACGGCCCAGACUCCGGCGGGAGGCAGCAGUAGGGAAUCUUACGCAAUGGGCGAAAGCCUGACGGAGCAACGCCGCGUGAGGGAUGAAGGUCUUCGGAUCGUAAAGCUCUGUUAUUAGGGAAGAACAAAUGUGUAAGUAACUAUGCACGUCUUGACGGUACCUAAUCAGAAAGCCACGGCUAACUACGUG
Molecule: ribosomal RNA, 497 nt
Filed under: uncultured bacterium
Lineage: Bacteria
Description: partial 16S ribosomal RNA
Rfam family: Bacterial small subunit ribosomal RNA
Source: RNAcentral